ACCCACUAGACGACAGCAACCCAACCCACUAGACGACAGCAACCCAACCCACUAGACGACAGCUACCCAACCCACUAGACAACAUAACAACCCAACCCACUAGACGACAGCAAAACAAUGUAUGUAUUUUGACAGAUUGCCACUCACAAAACCAAGCCACAAAGACCAAAACUUCACAUGUACAGUGAUACACCUGUUGCUGAGUGACUGAUCUAGUGAGGUGGCCAGCUCCACGGCUUUGGUUUCUGUAGACGAGUCCAGAAACACCAUCAUUUUGGCAGCUGCAGGAGAAGAGAGGAAGAAGAAAGGGGGAAGAGAGAGAGGAAGAAGAGAGAGGGGAAAGAAGAGAGAGAGGAAAGAAGAGAGAGAGGAAAGAAGAGAGAGAGGAAAGAAGAGAGAGAGGAAAGAAGAGAGAGAGGAAAGAAGAAAGAGAGAGGAAGAAGAGAGGGGAAGAAGAGAG
Oncorhynchus tshawytscha (Chinook salmon) is the source of this 460-nucleotide long non-coding RNA. The record is from Ensembl. NCBI's taxonomy places the organism in Eukaryota, Metazoa, Chordata, Actinopteri, Salmoniformes, Salmonidae.